GACGAACGCUGGCGGCGUGCUUAACACAUGCAAGUCGAACGAAGUGGCGAACGGGUGAGUAACGCGUAAUCAACCUGCCCUUCAGGGGGGGACAACAGAUGGAAACGACUGCUCAUACCGCAUACGGCAGGAGGGGAUUGCGUCGGCUUAGCUAGUUGGAGGGGUAACGGCCCACCAAGGAGAUGAACAGGAGCCGGACGGAGAGGAUGAACGGCCACAUUGGGACGGAGGAACGGCCCAGACUCGUACGGGAGGCAGCAGUGGGGAGACUUCCGGAAUGGGCGAGAGUCUGACGGAGCAGCGCGGCGGGAUGGAGGACGGCCUUCGGGUUAGAGAGCUCUGUUAAUCGGUUCGCGGUACCGGAAUAGAAAGCCACGGCUAACUCCGUGCCAGCAGCCGCGGUAAUAC
This 408-nucleotide ribosomal RNA is filed under the name uncultured bacterium. RNAcentral's name for it is "partial 16S ribosomal RNA". It matches the Rfam family "Bacterial small subunit ribosomal RNA", at positions 28 to 526 of the family's 1533-position model. The record is from RNAcentral.